This is a non-coding RNA of Physcomitrium patens, 2867 nucleotides long. Lineage: Eukaryota; Viridiplantae; Streptophyta; Bryopsida; Funariales; Funariaceae. The record is from RefSeq and is a predicted model, not a curated record.
ACGACAGAACGCCGCACCCCGUGACCGCUGCUCGUCACCGACUCUGGCUUGAUCAAGUGUGUGUGUGUGUGUCUGGAGCUCCAUGGCGAAAUUCACAAAUCCAACUCUGCAUUUGGUGCCGAGGUUAACGAAAGUCGAAGGUAAUGGCUCUGAUUGCAGCGCACUGUUGAAUGGAAGUGACUGUCUUCGUCUGAAUGUGAAGUUCUUCCAUGGAACACGCAAAUCGGGUGGAGAGCAGUUUUCAGGAUCUGACUCCGAAAAUGAGGCUGUGAAGGAGUUAUCGGAUGGUUCUUCUGAUGAUGGUAGAAGCGAUACUAACGGCAGAUCCCGGAGUCGAGUGGAGGAUAAUUGGCUUCAAGAUGCUCUCAUUGUACUGAUGGUGCUGUGCAAGUAGGCGUCUGAGUCGAGCCUAGCAUAUGUAAUGUCAACGAUUGUGGGACGAGCUCUUUCUGAUCGCAGCGAUGACUGGAAGCCUGUGCAUAGGAGCACCCUAGCUCCAUGGUUCAUUUUCAGAGCCGGUUGACAAAUGUUUCAAGCUGCGCGGAUGUCUUAAAACGUCCGACACUCCGUGGGUUGACAUUCAUUUAGUGCUGUGCGUUAUGACUUACUAAAUAUCCAGAUCCUACAACGACCAGCAAAACCUCCUGAAACAUGUAUUGUGUAUUUUUUGAGUCUAAUAUCUCUCUCUAAAGGAUGGAACCUAGUUUGGUGUUUGUUAACCUGCAUGAGGUAAAUGUUUCCUUAUCUUUCUUGAAGCAUCUCGUUCUUAACGUGCUGAUUGUGUUUAUUUUGUGAGGUGAGUGAUUUAUAUUCAGUUUCAUGUGACAAUAUUUCAAAGUGCAAAUUCAUGACACUGAAGCCCUAACUUAAUAACUCUGAUUUAGCUAUCAACAACUUACAUAUCCUGACCCAGCGCUAUUCACAUUUCUGAUGCUUUCUUAACGAGAGGAUUCUUCUGUGGUGUGGUAAAAAUCCUUAGCGCUGCAAAUAAUCUCCAUAGAGGAGCAUAUCAAAUUGUUACUCCUGCAUAAGCUUAUGCACUGUGAGCAUCACGAAGACUUACAAGUCUUUAGGUGAUGGACUGCUAAUCGUUGUAGUUCUGUUCCACAGUUAUGUUACUUCUCGAGAACAACACGGUUUGACCUUUAGUAGGAACAUUUGAGAGGCAUGAAACUCUAGAUGCUUGCAUCUUUGCCUACUAAAGGAAGUAGACAAGGUCAGAUUGUCCAUAUCUAAAGGGGUUAUAAGAUAAAUUUUUAAACAAAGUGGCCACAAAGUUAUCAAAACGUUGAGAACCACAUUUCUCUUACUAAGGUCUUGCAAACUUUCAGUUUUUUACAGGAUGAAGUUUGUGCUCAAAUCAAAAUCGGAAAAUUGCUUUGUAAAGAUAAAAGCAUUCUUCAUUGGCAGGUUUUCUUAAAAACUAACUUAAAAAUUCCCAUAUAAAACUCUGAAAUUUCUGUCAAUCAUCAAGAGAUGAACAAGAAGGAGGGCAGCGCGUAGUUAAGCUUUCUAGGAGCUCAGGUGUAAAUAAAUCUUGCUCGGUUUUGUGGGAACUUUUGUAGUGCACUGAUAUUAUACUCCAGGUCGAUGUAUUGUGGUUCAUUAUAUUCUAGCUACCAAUCCUCUCUUUGAGUUGGAUAUAGAUAUCUUAUUCUCAUUAAAAAAUUAAAAAAUAAUAAUAAUGAUAAUAAUAAAAUUGUCCUUCAGAAAUAGUAACGAGUCCUUAGUGACGUCCGUGUGUUUUGAGGUUGUGUAUCAUGGUCUCCAACGUUGUUAGAUCAUUUAAUAUAUAGAGAAGAGAAGAAACAAGUGCUCCAUGACUACUCACGGUGACCGAAGAUGGCUUUGAAAGGCGAGUGCAAGUCUAUGCAUCUUUGAAAAAUGUUGCUUGUCACGAGGGUGUAAUUGGAUGCCAGGCCAGCAUCAUGUUAAUCAUGUAUUGAGGCUGCAUAGAAAGUAUGCACCUGCAUUAAUUCUCUUAUGACUAGCCAUAUUUUUCCGUUUUCUACUUUGUUUGUUGAAUCUGUAGUUUAGUGCAAAACUUCCAUGUUUCGUUUAAUGUUGCGAGAGCCAACUUGUGUGGUGGGUAUCACUUUCGAGUGGACAAGACGAAAAGGAACCUCCAUGUUUGUUUCCUCGCAACACAUUUAGGGUUGUCUUGCAGCUUAGUGUUCGGGUUAACAUGAUCAUAGUCACAAUUAAGAACUGACCAUUAAACGUCUGUGGUAAACGUUUUCCUGUUCAUAGGAAUACUGGAUGGCACCAUCUGCAUAUUUUUUUUCUUGUUUUUGCAGUAGCUCGAUCCUUCUGUCCUGGUCCAUCUUUCAUUCUCUUGUUCAGUAUGCAGAGACAGAUGGAGAACGUGAAGAACAUUUAACAAGGAUGUUCUUGAGCAACUUCAAAUCUCUAGUGUAAAUCUGAAGAACUAUCACAGAUUGCAACUGUUCAUUACGCCAAGCUAAUAAACAUAGUUACUUGCUUCGGGGGGUUGAAAAUUAUGCGAAUUCCUUUAGGUGGCGAAGUUAGCUAGGAUUCGAUGUAAACAACUGCUGAGGAGGGUGUAGAGAUAUCCGAAAGUAAUAAAAACUAGUAAAUGUUUAAUCAGCAUUCCUAUGUGUAGUUUCAAAAAUGUAUCUCUCAAAUGCGAGUGACAUGAAAUGACAUAUGUUUCGGAUUGCAGACCAGGGAUUUCGCAUUGAUCAUUGUUUCCAAAUGGGCUUUCCCAGAGGACGAGUGGCAGUACGUAUUUACCAUUUUGUAACGAAGAUUUUAAUUCGACAUAGUGUGGACCACUGCCAAGUCUAUUCAGUCCCGUCGUAAGAUUAAUUUAAACCCAAUCUAGAGACAAGACAUGGCAGUGAAAA